RNAcentral lists this long non-coding RNA (1191 nucleotides) under Drosophila guanche. The record is from RNAcentral. Lineage: Eukaryota; Metazoa; Arthropoda; Insecta; Diptera; Drosophilidae.
GUGUUUGAAUUGAAUCCAUACCUCCGUUUCAUAGCGGCGAGCUGUUGUCAGACAUCAAUUGAAUACUCGAUAUGCCUGUUUACUAUCGAUAGUUCCAUUGUGCAUUUUUCAACACUGGUUACCACAGCAACAAAUGUUUGCUAAUUUAACAAUUUUAUUGAAAACAAUUAUCAUAGUAUAAUUUACGUAUUAAAAACGUAGGUUAACCGAUAAACAGUCAUGGCGGAAGCCGCAGCAUGCCAAUUGCAGUACGAGAACAAGGAGGUAGGUACCAAACAGACUGCAUGUAAGAUUCCCAGCGCUCCAUGCUGUCUACACCACAUUUUCUGUGAUCUUUUUUGCAAAUUUCGUAAAUGUUUUAUGUUUUUAGAACUCUAUUCUCUUGCUGCAUGCCGGCGUGCGACUAAUAGGUCUGCUACGUAGUGGGGAAGUUGGAUGGCACGCAAAUGAGUGACCACGCGGAAUGACACAAGCGUCCGAUGACCUGUGCGGUAGCCUAUUAGGCCUCGGUAUCAGACGAUCGAUUCGUGUUACUGGUCCAUCCUGGAUAGAUCUCACAGAUGACAAGGAUGCCAUAAAUACUCUGACUUUGACAAGUCAAGCAGCAGAAACUGAUCCUCAGGCCCAUUGCCAGCGGAUAAGGAUGCGUCAACUGUAGGAGCUCGAUGAGCUGGCCUUGACCUAUGUGCCUGUGCCUGCCAUAGAUCUGGCACAGAUGGUAACUCAGAGCACGAACAAGGAAUCAUAUUUACAAUAAUUGCCGCACUAUAGUUUCGAUAUUGUAAUGGGAUGCGCAGAGAAAGUAAGGUGUAUAUUGAUUUUACCAGAAAUUUUCUUUUUACAUGCUCCUGUUUGGUGUUUUUCAGAAAAUCUAAACCCUUUUCGGCAUCAUGGAGCUGGAGGAUGAGGAUCGUACGCGUCUCUAGCAGGUCUCCAGACAGAUCGCCGCUGGGGCCCGAUUCGCCAACUAUGUGGUCAAUCUGGAGAGUGAAUGCAACCUUCUUCCAUCCGAAGAUCGAGAAAGGCAAGCAUGAUCCACUCCUCUUUGGGAUGCAAUCAGGACUACGAGUUCUCCAUCUAAGUGGCCGAUUUCCAAUCUGAGACAGAGACCACAUCGCUUUAGGUUAAGCCUAGGUUAAGCAGGCUAGGAUUAUCUAAUAAAACUACAAAUUUUGUAAACAUGGAAUUACC